CAUGGCUGAAGCUGCAGACAGUCAACGAUUGAAGUCAGUUUCCACCCACGAGAAAAAGGAAAACGAAAGGCAGCCAUAGACGGACCACUCAGUCAAGUCUUCUUCUUCUUCUUCUCCUUAUGUAGAACAGAUGGGACAAGAGGCAAGAGCAGCAGCAACGUCAAAAUAUCAUAUGGGGAAUCAUCACCGAGCUCGCUUCACCCUAUGAUCUCCUCCUUCAUCGUCAUCAUGUUUUGGUUAGCAGCAUUACGGCAGGCAGAGGCGGACGACGGGUGGCAGAUGCCGAGUAGGUGGGUAUAGAAAUAAGAUUUCUCCAACUAUAUGAGAGAGAAAAUCUCUCUAUUCUGUUGAGGAAAAUCCUCUGUAAAGGAAAAUCCUUCCUCCCAAUCUGUAUAAAUAGAAGAGGAACAUGUUAAUAUAUUUUUUAUUUCUUCGAUAAAACUUCUUCACUUUUUCAAUAAAACUUCUUAAGUAAUUGUUCUUAUCUUCUAUUAUUUUCAUAAGGUACUACUCUUCCAAGGCGUUUACUACUCUUCCGAGUUGCGGUUGCGGCGAAACUUGUCCGGCUCCUGUCCAUGAGCCGCAACCUCCUCCAGUGAAGCCACCCCCACGCCGACCAUAAGCCUCCCAGUGGGCUUCCCGUGCAACGUUGACGUACGUCGAUCGAGUGUAUGCAUGUUUCUGUUUUCUCAGCUUGCUUCUGUCUGCAGCAACAAAAAUAUUCGAAGAGAAUAAAAAGUAUCUAUUUUGUCAAGGUUUCUUGGAGUACAUCGGUGUGUUAGAUAUGCUUGUGCCAUCUGAUUCGUUGGCUAUUCUUCUUCUAUGUUCUUCGUGUGGUAGAUAUGCUUUUCCUCGCAAUCAACUACGAUACGAUUUCAACAAGGAAAACAAGAGAAUCCUAGAUAGCUAAGAAGCAUGAGUUCUUGGGAUGAUGCUGCGGUUAU
This 944-nucleotide long non-coding RNA is filed under the name Musa acuminata (dwarf banana). RNAcentral's name for it is "long non-coding RNA (MACU_LNC000036)". The record is from RNAcentral. Lineage: Eukaryota; Viridiplantae; Streptophyta; Magnoliopsida; Zingiberales; Musaceae.